GAGCUAUACAUAUUAAUGGCUUUCAGUCUGUUUUAUCAUAUCCCCUCUCCCUUCUCCCCCCCAAGCUAUACAUAUUAAUGGCUUUCAGUCUGUUUUAUCAUAUCCCCCUCUCCCUUCUCCCCCCCGAGCUAUACAUAUUAAUGGCUUUCAGUUUGUUUUAUCAUAUCCUCCUCUCCCUUCUCCCCCCAAGCUAUACAUAUUAAUGGCUUUCAGUCUGUUUUAUCAUAUCCCCCUCUCCCUUCUCCCCCCGAGCUAUACAUAUUAAUGGCUUUCAGUCUGUUUUAUCAUAUCACCCUCUCCCUUCUCCCCCCGAGCUAUACAUAUUAAUGGCUUUCAGUCUGUUUUAUCAUAUCACCCUCUCCCUU
This is a non-coding RNA of Pelobates cultripes (western spadefoot toad), 365 nucleotides long. Lineage: Eukaryota; Metazoa; Chordata; Amphibia; Anura; Pelobatidae. The record is from the annotation of a GenBank genome assembly.